Non-coding RNA from Phrynosoma platyrhinos (Desert horned lizard), 70 nucleotides. Lineage: Eukaryota; Metazoa; Chordata; Lepidosauria; Squamata; Phrynosomatidae. The record is from the annotation of a GenBank genome assembly.
GAGGCUGUGGCUUAACUGACAGAGCAUUUUUGUAUGCAGAAGAUCCCAGGUUCAAUCCCUGGCAUUUUGG